This 481-nucleotide ribosomal RNA is filed under the name uncultured bacterium. RNAcentral describes it as "bacterial SSU rRNA". It matches the Rfam family "Bacterial small subunit ribosomal RNA", at positions 29 to 506 of the family's 1533-position model. The record is from RNAcentral.
AUGAACGCUAGCGGUAGGCUUAACACAUGCAAGUCGAGGGGCAGCACAGGUAGCAAUACUAGGUGGCGACCGGCGGACGGGUGAGUAACGCGUAUGCAACCUACCUAUAACUGGAGGAUAACCCCCGGAAACGGGGACUAAUAUUCCAUAAUGUUCAGAGAUCACAUGGUUUUUGGACUAAAGCUCCGGCGGUUAUAGAUGGGCAUGCGUGCCAUUAGCUAGUUGGUGAGGUAACGGCUCACCAAGGCUACGAUGGUUAGGGGGUCUUAAAGGAUGAUCCCCCACACUGGUACUGAGACACGGACCAGACUCCUACGGGAGGCAGCAGUGAGGAAUAUUGGUCAAUGGGCGCAAGCCUGAACCAGCCAAGCCGCGUGAAGGAUGACAGCCCUAUGGGUCGUAAACUUCUUUUGUAUGGGAAGAACCCUCCUACGUGUAGGAGACUGACUGUACUGUACGAAUAAGCAUCGGCUAACUCCGU